AGUGAACGCUGGCGGUAGGCCUAACACAUGCAAGUCGAACGGCAGCACAGUAAGAGCUUGCUCUUACGGGUGGCGAGUGGCGGACGGGUGAGGAAUACAUCGGAAUCUACUUUUUCGUGGGGGAUAACGUAGGGAAACUUACGCUAAUACCGCAUACGACCUACGGGGGAAAGCAGGGGAUCUUCGGACCUUGCGCGAUUGAAUGAGCCGAUGUCGGAUUAGCUAGUUGGCGGGGUAAAGGCCCACCAAGGCGACGAUCCGUAGCUGGUCUGAGAGGAUGAUCAGCCACACUGGAACUGAGACACGGUCCAGACUCCUACGGGAGGCAGCAGUGGGGAAUAUUGGACAAUGGGCGCAAGCCUGAUCCAGCCAUACCGCGUGGGUGAAGAAGGCCUUCGGGUUGUAAAGCCCUUUUGUUGGGAAAGAAAAGCGGCAGGUUAAUACCCCGCUGUUCUGACGGUACCCAAAGAAUAAGCACCGGCUAACUUCGUG
RNAcentral lists this ribosomal RNA (492 nucleotides) under uncultured bacterium. RNAcentral's name for it is "partial 16S ribosomal RNA". It matches the Rfam family "Bacterial small subunit ribosomal RNA", at positions 29 to 507 of the family's 1533-position model. The record is from RNAcentral.